RNAcentral lists this ribosomal RNA (468 nucleotides) under uncultured bacterium. RNAcentral's name for it is "partial 16S ribosomal RNA". It matches the Rfam family "Bacterial small subunit ribosomal RNA", at positions 28 to 507 of the family's 1533-position model. The record is from RNAcentral.
GACGAACGCUGGCGGCGUGCUUAACACAUGCAAGUCGAACGGAAAGGCCCUGCUUUUGUGGGGUGCUCGAGUGGCGAACGGGUGAGUAACACGUGAGUAACCUGCCCUUGACUUUGUGAUAACUUCAGGAGACUGGGGCUAAUACCGGAUAGGAGCUCCUGCUGCAUGGUGGGGGUUGGAAAGUUUCGGUGGUUGGGGAUGGACUCGCGGCUUAUCAGCUUGUUGGUGGGGUAGUGGCUUACCAAGGCUUUGACGGGUAGCCGGCCUGAGAGGGUGACCGGCCACAUUGGGACUGAGAGACGGCCCAGACUCCUACGGGAGGCAGCAGUGGGGAAUAUUGCACAAUGGGCGGAAGCCUGAUGCAGCAACGUCGCGUGCGGGAUGACGGCCUUCGGGUUGUAAACCGCUGUCGCCUGUGACGAAGCGUGAGUGACGGUAAUGGGUAAAGAAGCACCGGCUAACUACGUG